UACGGAGGAUGCGAGCGUUAUCCGGAUCUAUUGGGUUUAAAGGGUGCGUAGGCGGUCCGUUAAGUCAGCGGUAAAAUUGCGGGGCUCAACCCCGUCGAGCCGUUGAAACUGGCAGACUUGAGUUGGCGAGAAGUACGCGGAAUGCGCGGUGUAGCGGUGAAAUGCAUAGAUAUCGCGCAGAACUCCGAUUGCGAAGGCAGCGUACCGGCGCCAGACUGACGCUGAGGCACGAAAGCGUGGGGAUCGAACAGG
RNAcentral lists this ribosomal RNA (252 nucleotides) under uncultured bacterium. RNAcentral describes it as "partial 16S ribosomal RNA". It matches the Rfam family "Bacterial small subunit ribosomal RNA", at positions 524 to 776 of the family's 1533-position model. The record is from RNAcentral.